Molecule: transfer RNA, 63 nt
Filed under: Neomazocraes dorosomatis
Lineage: Eukaryota; Metazoa; Platyhelminthes; Monogenea; Mazocraeidea; Mazocraeidae
Description: tRNA-Asn
Source: RNAcentral
GUUUAUAUAGAUUAACAAAAUUGUAAGGCUGUUAACCUUGAGUUACUUUUAAAGUUAUAAACG